AGUGAACGCUGGCGGUAGGCCUAACACAUGCAAGUCGAACGGCAGCACAGUAAGAGCUUGCUCUUACGGGUGGCGAGUGGCGGACGGGUGAGGAAUACAUCGGAAUCUACUUUUUCGUGGGGGAUAACGUAGGGAAACUUACGCUAAUACCGCAUACGACCUACGGGUGAAAGCAGGGGAUCUUCGGACCUUGCGCGAUUGAAUGAGCCGAUGUCGGAUUAGCUAGUUGGCGGGGUAAAGGCCCACCAAGGCGACGAUCCGUAGCUGGUCUGAGAGGAUGAUCAGCCACACUGGAACUGAGACACGGUCCGGACUCCUACGGGAGGCAGCAGUGGGGAAUAUUGGACAAUGGGCGCAAGCCUGAUCCAGCCAUACCGCGUGGGUGAAGAAGGCCUUCGGGUUGUAAAGCCCUUUUGUUGGGAAAGAAAAGCAGCAGGUUAAUACCCCGCUGUUCUGACGGUACCCAAAGAAUAAACACCGGCUAACUUCGU
RNAcentral lists this ribosomal RNA (491 nucleotides) under uncultured bacterium. RNAcentral's name for it is "partial 16S ribosomal RNA". It matches the Rfam family "Bacterial small subunit ribosomal RNA", at positions 29 to 506 of the family's 1533-position model. The record is from RNAcentral.